This 440-nucleotide ribosomal RNA is filed under the name uncultured bacterium. RNAcentral describes it as "partial 16S ribosomal RNA". It matches the Rfam family "Bacterial small subunit ribosomal RNA", at positions 338 to 795 of the family's 1533-position model. The record is from RNAcentral.
CCUACGGGUGGCAGCAGUGGGGAAUAUUGCACAAUGGGGGAAACCCUGAUGCAGCGACGCCGCGUGAGCGAUGAAGUAUUUCGGUAUGUAAAGCUCUAUCAGCAGGGAAGAAAAUGACUGUACCUGACUAAUAAGCCCCUGCUAACUACGUGCCAGCAGCCGCGGUAAUACGUAGGGGGCAAGCGUUAGCCGGAUUUACUGGGUGUAAAGGGAGCGUAGACGGCUGUGCAAGCCAGAUGUGAAAGCCCGGGGCUCAACCCCGGGAUUGCAUUUGGAACUGUGUGGCUGGAGUGUCGUAGAGGGAGGCGGAAUUCCUCGUGUAGCGGUGAAAUGCGUAGAUAUUAGGAGGAACACCAGUGGCGAAGGCGGCCUGCUGGACGAUGACUGACGUUGAGGCUCGAAAGCGUGGGGAGCAAACAGGAUUAGAUACCCCAGUAGUC